UGGUUACGAGUCUUCCCCGUAACAUGGAAGAAUCUAGUGAGGAUGAAGAUGACGAGGAAGAGAUGGAAGAGGGAUUACAUGGUUUUGAGAGUUAGAAGAUGCAAGGAUGUUCUUCUACAGUUUUCUAUUAUGGAAGUGGCUUCAAGAAUUAUGAUUACAUUUACUUUUGAAAUUUGAAUGCACAAAGAUGCAUGUUUGUUAUAAUGUUAAUGGGACAAUGUAAUUUGAAUUUUGUCUAAA
Phoenix dactylifera (date palm) is the source of this 240-nucleotide non-coding RNA. NCBI's taxonomy places the organism in Eukaryota, Viridiplantae, Streptophyta, Magnoliopsida, Arecales, Arecaceae. The record is from RefSeq and is a predicted model, not a curated record.